CCAGACUCCUACGGGAGGCAGCAGUGAGGAAUAUUGGUCAAUGGGCGAGAGCCUGAACCAGCCAAGUAGCGUGCAGGAAGACGGCCCUAUGGGUUGUAAACUGCUUUUAUGCGGGGAUAAAGUGAGGGACGUGUCCUUCAUUGCAGGUACCGCAUGAAUAAGGACCGGCUAAUUCCGUGCCAGCAGCCGCGGUAAUACGGAAGGUCCGGGCGUUAUCCGGAUUUAUUGGGUUUAAAGGGAGCGUAGGCCGUGGAUUAAGCGUGUUGUGAAAUGCAGGUGCUCAACGUCUGCACUGCAGCGCGAACUGGUCCACUUGAGUGUGCGCAACGCAGGCGGAAUUCGUGGUGUAGCGGUGAAAUGCUUAGAUAUCACGAAGAACUCCGAUUGCGAAGGCAGCUUGCGGGAGCACAACUGACGCUGAAGCUCGAAAGUGCGGGUAUCGAACAGGAUUAGAUACCCUGGUAGUCCGCACGGUAAACGAUGGAUGCCCGUUGUCAGGCUGUUUCAGCCUGGUGACCAAGCGAAAGCAUUAAGCAUCCCACCUGGGGAGUACGCCGGCAACGGUGAAACUCAAAGGAAUUGACGGGGGCCCGCACAAG
Molecule: ribosomal RNA, 599 nt
Filed under: uncultured bacterium
Lineage: Bacteria
Description: bacterial SSU rRNA
Rfam family: Bacterial small subunit ribosomal RNA
Source: RNAcentral